Molecule: long non-coding RNA, 5882 nt
Organism: Anolis carolinensis (green anole)
Lineage: Eukaryota; Metazoa; Chordata; Lepidosauria; Squamata; Anolidae
Exons: 2
Source: RefSeq, a predicted model, not a curated record
AGGGGCUACAAUCGAGAAGGCUCUCUGCCUAGUAGAAGACAAAUGAUAGGUCCGGAUGUUAGGGACUUCAAGCAAAUUUUGGUCUUUUGACCAAACUAAUCUCUGGGGUUGAUAAGGGGAAAUCAUAUUUCAUAAACUAGAGCUAAUGUGGUCUAUUCAAUGCAAUUUUUUGAAUCAGCAUCCCAAAUAACCCCAGGAACAGGCCUAAAAAUGAAAACACCAAGGCGCCCCUGCUUCCAGGCACCACAUGAAACAUCUCCGCUCAGGGGGAUGGAGGAGGAGGAGAAGCAGCAGUCAGGAGGCUUGUUGUCAUGCCUGUCCUGAGUAGUCAGCCUCUCCCUUCCUGACAUCCCCAUUGCCUCGGUACUGUAAGACGGUUUCACGAGACCAGUCACUCCCGUUGCAACGGUAUAGUAACGGUGAGUCCAUGAACCAUAUUUUAGUUGUUGGGGACCAUUGGUGUUCCACGGACCACAGGUUGGAAAUCACUGUGCUAAAAAGACCAUCAAUCAUGAAGCGAAUGCACAAUGUCACCCAUUUCUUAAUGAAGACAGAAAGAAGAAAUAAAACCUUCCCUUUGGAAAGUUUUUUAAAAAUUUUCUCAUCACUAUUAUAAUUCUUCUGUCUCACCCUUUAUCACAAGAUCUCAGGGCAGUGUGCAGAUAAAACCAGCUUACAACAGAGGCCAGUUUUAAAUUUAAAACACUAAGGAGUCGUGUUGUCAGAUUAAACAGGUUCUGGCUCAGGUUUUUAGAGCAUCCAGUUCGAAAUCCAGUUAUAAAUAGAUGUUUAAUUAAUAACACGCUGUCAAUAUGCAGGUGGAAAAUAUGAAAGGAUUGAAAUCAAAAGGCUUCUGUGUUGCUAUCUGAAAUGAAAUCUCUUGCCGAUAUGAGACAGGCAGAGAAGACCUGGUUGCAUAGGAUUAUAUUGCACUCAUCUCAGUCUGAGGAGUCUCAAGUAAACCGCUUUUAUUUGUAUGCAUUCCAUUCCUCGGCUUGCCAAAUUGCAGGCCCUGGAUUGCUCCCACAAAAGGGGCCAUUUAGGCGAAUUUUGCCAUUUGAAAUUGUUUAGCUGAAUCUCUGGGUGUGAUCGGUUCUCGACUAUAAUGUCAUAAUGAUUCAGAAACCGAGACAGACACCGGACAACCAAGGAGACACAUUCAACCGAUCCCAUUGCUAUUUGUGGCAUUGCUGGAGAGGGAGUUAUAGAAUAUGUCUAGGGCAGUAAGUAGUGGGGCUAAAUACAUAUUCUUGUCUGCUUGAAGCCUGGUAGAUUUUCACCUCUUAUGCUGGGAGGAGGACGAGACAGGUGACAGCUGAGAGUGCUCAGAAGGGUUCUUAACCACUGUUUACCUUCUUCAAUCCAUCCUCUCGGCGUAAGGAAGUAGCCAUUCGAUACCAUCCUUAUGCCAGGAGGAGGGCAAGACAUGCUGUGGCUGAGAGCACUCCAAAGGCCUUCCUCCUUUUUCCUUUCUGAAUAAGGCUAUGAUAGGCCACCGUGCCCUUAUGCUGAGAAGACAGGGAAAAUGAAGAGGGCCUGAGGUAACUGCAUUUGUCCCCUGGGCCUUAGUUUUGUCCUGUUUUGUCUUUCAAGAACAGCCUUAAAACACUGUAGUAAGUAAAUGAAAACUGCUUUACUUCAGCCAAACAUAAAGUUCAGCACACUCAGUGGAAUAAUGCAAAAGGAAGCUAGGAAGUCUUAUGACAAGCACAGUUCUUAGUCUCUGAUAAAUUCCCAAAUCAAAUAACAGCCUUACUUCAGACAAAGAAACAGCAAUAAAUUCUUAGGAGCAGUUUCCCAGAUGCAGACUUGAAGCAGGCACAAGGGGAGCAAAGGCUUAGGCUUUAGAGCCAGUUUGUUACCAGCAAGAGCUGGCUGCACCUGCAUCUGCGUUAUAGUCCUGAGUCCCCUCACAGCUGCUAUGGCACUUCCUAAUUACUCAGCUGCAUUUCUGGAAGCUAUUCUAGUUGAAUGAUGUCUCUGCUCUGUUUCCUUUCGCCUCUCCUGAAAUGUGGGCACUUGCAAAAUCUCCUCCUCAGAUUCCAACUGCCCCUCUGAUUCAUGAACACUUUCCUGCUCCCCUUCCUCUUCUUAAGAAGAGGAAUCCCUAACAAGUUUUCCCAUGCCUGGCCUAGUGCCUAUGUUAUUUAUGUGACACAAAAGUGAAGAGGGUGAAACAGAGAGGCAAAGGAGAUUCGGGUAACAAAUCUUUUGCACCAGACUCUCCAAACUGGAGAGUCCUGCUUACCACACUUUUUAACAUUCCAGUUUUUCUCGCUUUCUCCCACCGUCCACCUUUGUCCUCAGCUUGUUUCCAUUGCCACAAACUGCAAACUGGAGAUCUAAUUUGAUCUCAGUUUGCUCCGCAGAGAGGAAAGGAGAAAAAGAUGUUGGAUCAUGCCCUUCCCAGUAGGCCUAGGCAAAAGGAAAAUGCUGCAGCUGCUACCACCAUAAGUGUAAUAAUAAUGUUACUACCUUGUCCACACUCAGACACACAUGUCCCAAUUGUAAAAUGUUGAAAGGUAUAUCAUAGAGAUAUGUGCUGAUGUUGAAUUAUGACCAACGGGAUGGUUAACACUAGUAAGAGCAGGGAUGGAAAUGGAAUCAGGCCAAGAAAGGAAGUCUCAUGACUCAACUCUCCCUUUUAUACAAUGGUCUCUUGUGGGAAUGUUCUGCUUUGGGGGAAUACCAAUGACUUGAGUCAAUCUAAAGGAGGGGUGCUCUUAGCCUCACCUCUCUUUCUCAAAACAUUCAGAUGGAAUGGCCAGGUUUAAGCCUAGCUUUUAAACAGAAAAUGCUUUCCACCAUCCCAGUCUACUUUCUAGCAUUCUAUCAGAUAACAAAUUUGUGUUUGUAUGUUUGUUUUAUGCACUGACACGCUUAUUUUCAAGUGUUCAAAAUCUUCCCAAGUGCUCUACAAAAUCUGAAAAAUGGCUGCCUCAGAAAAGACUAAUGUGUGACCACAGAGAAGCCUUCACAAAACAAAGCAACCCAAUAGGACCGACUGGGAGACUGGAGAAUUUUAAAUCGAAGCCAAAGCUCUUCAUGUGAUGCAGGAAAAGUAACCGGGAUGAUACAAGAGAUAUGCAACUUGGAAACAUGGACACCUGCAAGGGGCAUUUCCCAGGCCAUAAUGACUAUAAAAGGUAAGUGCAUUAAGUUCGCUUUUGCCAUCCUGCCUAGAUCAUAGAUACAUGUGCAACUGAUAUCCAACAAGUUUCUUGCUUGAUCACAAAACCAUUUAGGGAGAGUUAGCCGUAUUUGUCAAAAUGGCCAACGCGAAUGUACAAUAAUUAGGGUUGUGCUGUUUUUCGCACUCACUACCCAUUUGUACUGUACCCUUGGGGACUAAAUAAUUACCUACUUUGUGUGGUUAUCUAGUUCACUAAUUACCCACUAAAAUUGGGGUCAGGUGUUAACUGCUGGAAAUAAGUAUCCUCCAAAGAGUUGAAUAAGCUGCAUUUAAAAAGGAUGCAUUUUUAGCAUAAGUUCAGAGGAAAGAAAUGUGAAACGCUUACCCUGUUUCUGUAUUUUUGGGUCAUGUUAUGCACGGAACGAGAGGAUGUGAUUUCACACUUACAUGUCAAAAUGUUCUGUGGGAUUCCAAGAUAUCACCUCUUCCCGAGAGAGACAAAUGGGAAUAUUUUCAGACACUUUUUUUUUUUAUAAACCACCAAGUUCUCUCUGCCACUUGGAAGCUGUGCCGUGUAGCCUCUUUCAGUCUCCCAUUGAGGAAGGUAUGAUGCAUCGGAGGAAUGUUUUCUCCCAUUGUUGUUAAUCCAGAAUGAUUACUCAUACCAUCUCUAUGUGUGGCAUUUCAAAACUUGCAUACAUUUGAUGAUGCAGCAGGAAGGGAUAACAUCUUUCCUCUGCUGAUGGGUUGUACCAUUUCCGAUUGCUGCCGGAGAGUGGAAUUCUCGUAUGGCUUCCUACACUGAAAAAAAAAAAAGGCCACCUCAUUGUAAAAUUAAAGUGAAUGCAUUAGUUAGAAAGUAGAAAUGAUGAAUCAUUCAAGUAAUGUUUUCCCUUGUUUGCAACCUGUACGGUAUAGGUAAAGAACAGUUUUUUUUCCCCUGCAUUUGCUGAUCAUGUUGAUGGGCUCAAUUGAACGAAGCCAAAAUUGAAGAGCAGCCGGUGUUAUUCCCAAAAAGAAAGAUCUCAAAGGAAACAUCUGAAAAUAGUUGUUUAUUGUUAGGAAAACUCAAUGUGUGCUCUUGAGGUCUUCCUAAGGGCCCUACAGGAAGCUCUCCAUCUUGGCUAAGUUAACUUUUGUAGAGUCCCGGUGGCGAAGUGUGUUAAAGCACCGAGCUGCUGAACUUGCAGACCGAAAGGUCGCAGGUUCGAAUCUGGGGAGCGGAGUAAGUGCCCACUGUUGCUCCAGCUUCUGCCAACCUAGCAGUUCAAAAACAUGCCAAUGUGGGUAGAUCAAUAGGUACCACUCCAGCGGGAAGGUAACAGCACUUCAUGCAGUCAUGCCGGCCACAUGACCUUGGAGGUGUCUACGGACAACGCCGGCUCUUCAGCUUAGAAAUGGAGAUGAGCACCAACCCCCAGAAUCAGACUCGAUUAGAUUUAAUAUCAAGUGGAAACCUUUACCCUUUACUUAUGUCCAAUACAUAGGCAAUGAACAAAUAUAAUACAGUAGAAUCUCAUUUAUCCAACAUAAAUGGGCCGGCAGAACAUUGAUAAGCGAAAAUGUUGGAUAAUAAGGAAGGAUUAAGAAAAAAGCCUAUUAAACAAAAUUACAUUAUGAUUUUACAAAUUAAGCACCAAAACAUCAUGUUUUACAACAAAUUGACAGAAAAAGCAGUUCAAUACACAGUAAUGUUAGGUAGUACAGUAGAGUCUCACUUAUCCAAGCUAAAUGGGCCGGCAGAAACUUGGAUAAGUGAAUAUCUUGGAUAAUAAGGAGAGAUUAAGGAAAAGCCUAUUAAACAUCAAAUUAGGUUAUGAUUUUACAAAUUAAGCACCAAAACAUCAUGUUAUACAACAAAUCUAACAGAAAAAGUAGUUCAAUAGGCAGUAAUGUUAUGUUGUAAUUGCUGUAUUUAUGAAUUUAGCACCAAAAUAUCACGAUGUAUUGAAAACAUUGACUACAAAAAUGGCUUGGAUUAUCCAGAGGCUUGGAUAAGCAAGGCUUGGAUAAGUGAGACUCUACUGUAAUUACUGUAUUUACAAAUUUAGCACCAAAACAUUACAACAUUUACUACAAAAACAUUGACUACUAUAAGGCUGACUGCAUUGGAUAAUAUUGCAUUGGAUAAGUGAAGCUUGGAUAAGUGAGACUCUACUGUAAUGGUUUCAGGCAAUGUGCUGUUUUGUAUUUGUGUGUUGUUGUUUUAUGGAGUCUCCUGAAGAGGCCAAGUUAUGUCUAUCGGUAGACGAUCAUCUUUUGAGCAUCCUGAGAUGUGACUCAAUUGGACAAACCAUGCUCACAUUGCGGAAGAGCAUCAGCAUGUAUUUCUGAAUAGAGUGUCUGGGGCUAUUUAUAGUGAAAGCAGCCUCUGACCUAGUCUAGCCCUGGCUUUAUUUUGAAAAAUGCAGACACCCACCAGGAAUAACGGCAGCAUCUGGUGUCACCCGAUAGACAUGCGGUCGCGAGGAACUGGGUUCCCAAACAUGCAUCCUAAAGCAAAAAGGGGUUGCUGAUAUCAUCUCACAAAGAUGGAGAUAAUGGAGGCAUAAGCACAAUACAGUCAAAUAUAUUUUGGCAAAGUCUCCAUCAGCAGCGGAGAAUGUCGUGGUUAUCCAUUUUUGAAAAUUAUGUAAAUUAUGAAGCUGUAUUCCCUGCCAUUGAUGAAGAUUUUUUUAACACCCAUGUGUUGCAUUGUGCUUAUAUGGUCAUUGAUACAGAACGUUGCAAUUAAAUGAUCACAACUUGG